This 245-nucleotide ribosomal RNA is filed under the name uncultured bacterium. RNAcentral's name for it is "partial 16S ribosomal RNA". It matches the Rfam family "Bacterial small subunit ribosomal RNA", at positions 524 to 768 of the family's 1533-position model. The record is from RNAcentral.
AACGUAGGUGGCGAGCGUUAUCCGGAUUCACUGGGCGUAAAGCGCCUGCAGGCGGUUUGGUAAGUGGGGUGUGAAAUCUCCCGGCUCAACUGGGAGGGGUGAUUCCAUACUGCCAGACUGGAGGGCAGGAGAGGGAAGUGGAAUUCCCGGUGUAGUGGUGAAAUGCGUAGAUAUCGGGAGGAACACCAGUGGCGAAGGCGACUUCCUGGACUGUACCUGACGCUGAGAGGCGAAAGCUAGGGGAG